ACUCCUACGGGAGGCAGCAGUAGGGAAUCUUCCACAAUGGGCGCAAGCCUGAUGGAGCAACACCGCGUGAGUGAAGAAGGGUUUCGGCUCGUAAAGCUCUGUUGUUAAAGAAGAACACGUAUGAGAGUAACUGUUCAUACGUUGACGGUAUUUAACCAGAAAGUCACGGCUAACUACGUGCCAGCAGCCGCGGUAAUACGUAGGUGGCAAGCGUUAUCCGGAUUUAUUGGGCGUAAAGAGAGUGCAGGCGGUUUUCUAAGUCUGAUGUGAAAGCCUUCGGCUUGACCGGAGAAGUGCAUCGGAAACUGGAUAACUUGAGUGCAGAAGAGGGUAGUGGAACUCCAUGUGUAGCGGUGGAAUGCGUAGAUAUAUGGAAGAACACCAGUGGCGAAGGCGGCUACCUGGUCUGCAACUGACGCUGAGACUCGAAAGCAUGGGUAGCGAACAGGAUUAGAUACCCUGGUA
This 465-nucleotide ribosomal RNA is filed under the name uncultured bacterium. Its description in RNAcentral is "bacterial SSU rRNA". It matches the Rfam family "Bacterial small subunit ribosomal RNA", at positions 335 to 792 of the family's 1533-position model. The record is from RNAcentral.